RNAcentral lists this ribosomal RNA (253 nucleotides) under uncultured bacterium. Its description in RNAcentral is "partial 16S ribosomal RNA". It matches the Rfam family "Bacterial small subunit ribosomal RNA", at positions 524 to 776 of the family's 1533-position model. The record is from RNAcentral.
UACGUAGGGUGCAAGCGUUAAUCGGAAUUACUGGGCGUAAAGCGUGCGCAGGCGGUUUUGUAAGUCUGUCGUGAAAGCCCCGGGCUCAACCUGGGAAUGGCGAUGGAGACUGCAAGGCUUGAAUCUGGCAGAGGGGGGUAGAAUUCCACGUGUAGCAGUGAAAUGCGUAGAGAUGUGGAGGAGCACCGAUGGCGAAGGCAGCCCCCUGGGUCAAGAUUGACGCUCAUGCACGAAAGCGUGGGGAGCAAACAGG